AUUGAACGCUGGCGGCAUGCUUUACACAUGCAAGUCGAACGGCAGCACGGGAGCAAUCCUGGUGGCGAGUGGCGAACGGGUGAGUAAAGUAUCGGAACGUGCCCAGUCGUGGGGGAUAACGUAGCGAAAGUUACGCUAAUACCGCAUACGAUCUAUGGAUGAAAGCGGGGGAUCGCAAGACCUCGCGCGAUUGGAGCGACCGAUAUCAGAUUAGGUAGUUGGUGGGGUAAAGGCUCACCAAGCCGACGAUCUGUAGCUGGUCUGAGAGGACGACCAGCCACACUGGGACUGAGACACGGCCCAGACUCCUACGGGAGGCAGCAGUGGGGAAUUUUGGACAAUGGGCGCAAGCCUGAUCCAGCCAUGCCGCGUGCAGGAUGAAGGCCUUCGGGUUGUAAACUGCUUUUGUACGGAACGAAAAGGUUUGACUUAAUACGUUGGACUCAUGACGGUACCGUAAGAAUAAGCACCGGCUAACUACGUGCCAGCCGCCGCAGUAA
This 500-nucleotide ribosomal RNA is filed under the name uncultured bacterium. RNAcentral describes it as "partial 16S ribosomal RNA". It matches the Rfam family "Bacterial small subunit ribosomal RNA", at positions 30 to 523 of the family's 1533-position model. The record is from RNAcentral.